UGGGGAGCAAUCCCUGAGUAAAGUGGCGCACGGGUGAGUAACACGUGGGUCAUCCACCCUUUGGCGGGGAAUAACCCUGGGAAACUGGGGAUAAUACCGCAUAAGUCCGAGAGGAGAAAGUCACAAGACGCCGAAGGAGGAGCCCGCGCCCGAUUAGCUAGUUGGUGAGGUAAGAGCUCACCAAGGCGACGAUCGGUAGCCGGCCUGAGAGGGCACACGGCCACACUGGCACUGAAACACGGGCCAGACUCCUACGGGAGGCAGCAGUGGGGAAUCUUGCACAAUGGGGGAAACCCUGAUGCAGCGACGCCGCGUGAACGAUGAAGCCCUUCGGGGUGUAAAGUCCUUUCGGCAGGGACGAUAAUGACGGUACCUGCAGAAGCAGCUGCGGCUAACUACGUGCCAGCAGCCGCGGUAAUA
RNAcentral lists this ribosomal RNA (420 nucleotides) under uncultured bacterium. Its description in RNAcentral is "bacterial SSU rRNA". It matches the Rfam family "Bacterial small subunit ribosomal RNA", at positions 73 to 525 of the family's 1533-position model. The record is from RNAcentral.